This 280-nucleotide small RNA is filed under the name marine eukaryotic metagenome. RNAcentral describes it as "5' ureB small RNA". It matches the Rfam family "5' ureB small RNA". The record is from RNAcentral.
CGAUCUGUUGCGGGCAGAUGAAAUGAAUAUGCACGUCGAGGCCGCCGGCGGUCAGGAUCUUGCCCUCGCCUGCGAUGGCUUCGGUGCCCGGGCCGACGAUGAUGUCGACGUCGGGCUGGGUGUCCGGGUUGCCGGCCUUGCCGAUGGCGACGAUACGCCCGUCUUUCAGGCCCACGUCCGCCUUGACGAUCCCCCAAUGGUCGACGAUCAAGGCGUUGGUGAUCACCGUGUCGACGGCGCCGUCGGCGCGGGUCGUCUGGGCUUGGCCCAUACCGUCGCG